This 588-nucleotide small RNA is filed under the name uncultured Tomentella. RNAcentral's name for it is "eukaryotic LSU rRNA". The stretch from base 209 to 363 matches the Rfam family "5.8S ribosomal RNA". Lineage: Eukaryota; Fungi; Basidiomycota; Agaricomycetes; Thelephorales; Thelephoraceae. The record is from RNAcentral.
CCGAACUGUCGACACGAGUUGUUGCUGGUCCUCAAAUGUGGGGGCAUGUGCACGCUCUGUUUACAAAUCCAUCCACACCUGUGCACCCUCAGUAGUUCUGUGGCGUGGAGGACACCGUCCUCCGGCCGUGGUUCUACAUCUUUACACACACACACACACAGUGAUAAAGUCCAAUGGGAUGUAUGUAGCGUUUAACGCAAUAUAAUACAACUUUCAGCAACGGAUCUCUUGGCUCUCGCAUCGAUGAAGAACGCAGCGAAAUGCGAUAAGUAAUGUGAAUUGCAGAAUUCAGUGAAUCAUCGAAUCUUUGAACGCACCUUGCGCCCUUUGGCCAUUCCGAAGGGCAUGCCUGUUUGAGUAUCAUGAACACCUCAACCCUCAUGGUUUACCAUGACGGGCUUGGACUUUGGGGGUCUUGCUGGAUCGUAGUCAGCUCCCCUUAAAUGGAUCAGCUUGCCAGUGUCUGGUGGCAUCACAGGUGUGAUAAAUAUCUACGCUUGCGAUUUUACAUCAGGUAACCUUCAGAGAUGGGGGUUCGCUGGGGCUCACAAAAGGUGUCUCUCCUCCAUGAGGAUGGCUCUUUGAACG